Molecule: long non-coding RNA, 1643 nt
Organism: Coregonus clupeaformis (lake whitefish)
Lineage: Eukaryota; Metazoa; Chordata; Actinopteri; Salmoniformes; Salmonidae
Exons: 2
Source: RefSeq, a predicted model, not a curated record
CCACAGUGGAACACAUGGCUGGAUGAAAUGGUGUCCUCUACAGGGGGUAAUGAAAAGAAGAAAAAUCAAGAUGGCAAGCAAUACCACAGCACAGAGGUCAAGAUCAUACAGAGAAAGAAUAAAAUCAGAUCCACUUAAAUAUGCAGAGUCCCUCAAGAAGGACAGAGAAAGAUACCUGAAGAAAAAGCAACAAGGUGUUGUUAAAUCUGUGACAGAAAUGCCGAAAAGAGAACAACGAAAAAUGAGAAGACAGUGGCGAAUUUCUCAACGAAACAGACGUAGGAAAUGGAAAAUGGUCUCAGCAGUGAAUAGUUUCAUGGCACAUACAACACCACCACCAUCACCAGACAACAUGAGUGUUAAUGCAGAAGACAUCCCUGAAACACCUCAGCUGUGUGAGCUUACACCAGAGAGAACUCCACAGAGGAAAAGAGGGAGAAAAAAGGUUGCGAAGGCAAAAGCAAAGGUGUACAGAGAUCUUAAUGACAUUAAACAAAAGCUUGAGGAUGCCCUCAGAAAAGUUGAAAAAUACAAAAAAAGUUCAAGCACACUUACCAGCACAUCUCAACCCAUCAUAGACCUGCAUGAGGGACUGAUUGGAAGUUGGUGUGUGGUACGGUAUGAUGGGGAUCCUUACCCUGGCAUUAUACAGGAUGUGGACCCUGAGGGUUGUGCUCUGGUGAGAACCAUGAGUCAUAUUGGCAAAAACAAGUUAUUCUGGCCUAUGAGAGACGAUGUUAUUUGGUACCGGCCAGAAGAUGUGAUCAGGCUGGUCCCAGAGCCUCAACCAGUAACAAAGAGGCAUGUGAUGGUGGAGCCAACAGUUUGGAAAGAAAUAUGCUCUGUUCUUGACCAUGAAACAUAACUGAACCUCUGGCCCAUAUGCAAGUUUGACAGAUACAGUAUUUAGCAAAUACAAUGUCUAUUUAGUCAGAUUCAACUUGUUAUUCCACAUGAUUACGUUUGACAGUACAUGGAUUUACAAUAUAACACACAUGACAGUAAUGUUUAAGUACAGAGUGUUUGCUCUGGUUCAGCAUAGGCAUAUAAGUUUUCAAUUUCAAAAUAUAUUGCCUAUUUUAUCUGUUAUUCAACUGGUUAUAUUAAGGUUAUGUUAAGGUAAUGAUGACAUAAAGGGUUUGCUCUAGUUUGUACUAGUUUGCUCUAGUUCAGCAUGUAGAAAACAGUGAAGAAAUGAUUUGCUGAUUUUUAACACAAAUUCAUGUUUUUUCAUUUUUUGGAUUGUUUUUAAUUUAAAAAUAUUGGUGAUAUGUUUUUGUUCACAAAUGCUGUUGCUUAUUGAUUUGCUCUGGUUCACCACAUAGAGCAGUAGAAAAAUUGUUUUUAAUUGGAAGUUGCCUAUCUGUCAUUUCCGCCACGCCAUGUCAUUUCCACCACAACACAUAUUUUAAAGUAAAACAUAAAAAACAUACAAUCAAACCAACUAUAUUCAGUGGUGUUGAUAAUUGUGCAGUUAGGGCUAAGAUUUGUGUAUACACUUUGAGAAAUAUAUGAUUUUUUGAGCUAUGAUAAGAAAAUGAAAUGUUCCAUUGACCUAGUUUUAGGUGUUUUUUAGUGUAAACAUUGUAAAAUCUUUACAGUUACAUUUCUGAAAAAAAUAAUAAAUUACAAAUUUGAACAGA